Molecule: long non-coding RNA, 4834 nt
Filed under: Capsicum annuum
Lineage: Eukaryota; Viridiplantae; Streptophyta; Magnoliopsida; Solanales; Solanaceae
Description: long non-coding RNA (CANN_LNC004986)
Source: RNAcentral
GCUACGAGUGAUUACAUGAUACAAGUUUUUUUGAAUGUGAAUGCAAGUGAUUUUGAAUGUAAAAACAUGUGGAAUGUGUUGAAUUACUACUUUUGAGACUCCUAGGCUCGUUUGUAUGAACCUUUUGCAAUGUUGGCUUAUUGUUGAAUUCAUUCAAUUACAUUAUUUAGGGUUUAUGUGGAUCCUACUUGACUUGAGCUUAUGGGUUGUGUGAUGUGAGGCUUUUUUGUAUAGUCCUUAUUGUAUAGUAAUGUCUGAAAGUUGCCUGGUAUUUAUGCAAAGACUAUAAAGAGUGUCAGCUUUAGAAGAUGAUAUAGGCAAUUCUUUAAUAGCAACAUUUUAUACCAUCUAUUAUCUACCUUUUUGCAUAAUCUUAGUUAGUCUCAUUGACCUUUUAACCUAUUCUAUGGAAGCCCAUGUGUAGCCUAUUCUCCUUCUUUCAUUAUUUGACAUUAGAUCCAAAGUUUUUUUAAGAUUAAUUAAAAAAUUAAUAUGGUAAAGAAAUGUAAAAUUGAAGAAGGAAAAGGUGAAUAUAAAGCUCCAAAAUAGUACUAUUGGUGUUGAAAAUGUUUAUGUGAUGUGGUUAAGAGUAAUUUAAUGAAAACUAAAAAAUUAAUAAAAAAAAUGAAUCAUAAGUUAAUAGAGAAUACUCCCUACUUACUAUGUGUGAACUAGCUUACAGAUAUAGGGCAAAACAAAUGAGACAUAAGAAGUUAGAAAUGGUGAGAAAUUAGCUUUGUGAGAGGAUUCAAAGUACAAUGCGAUGUCUUAGAGCGCUUAGGAAAGAUAGUCACUCUUACUAGACAAAUUAGUUCCUAACUGUCACUUAGCCGACAUUACAACCAAUAAAGUUCUAUUUGAUCUUGGUACUUGAUUUUCUGAUAUUAGUAGAGUACUACACUAAGGGCAAGCCAAUGGUUCAUCUUAUAUUCCCGGCUGAAUUGUUAAAUUACGUGGAGAUUCUACGUGAUCAAAUAAGGACUACUAUUUUAUUAUUAAUUUAAUGUUUAACUAAGUGAUAAAAUAACUAAUGAACAAAAUGUGUUAUUUUAUUAUUUCUAAUUGUUAUUAUCUAAGUGAUAAAAACAUUUAAUUAGAUAAAAGAGGAGAAAGAAAUGACAUAAUUUGUAAUAAAAGAGGACUGCUUACGUAACAAACUAACUACCCCAAAUAAAUCAGCAUGCAAGGCAAAUAAAAGAAUGAAAAUAAUUCAUCAAAUCAAACAAAGAAAUGUUUUUGGUCUCAUUCGGAUCAGAACUCCAACUUGUUUAAUCAUCAUCUGACCCACCAUCCAAACUGUUAGACAAGUCAUGUCUUAUCUUUAAUGUCUGUUGGAGAUCAUCACUUCUGAAUGACUACCCGUCCCACUCCAUCUAGACUGGAUGUCAAAUCUAAAGGCAUUCUAGAACAAGGAUAAAACUAACGUCUUUGGAAUACCUAUCGCCCGAGCUAUCGUCCAAAAGAUAUUAGACUUUAUUAUUUUGGUUUUGUGGUCUAGACAAAAUAAAACUUUGUUGCCUAGGACUCAAAGCGCGUACCAAUGGUCUCUUGGUUAUUAAGAGUUGAUUAAUUUGAUAAACAUUCAACAACAAAUAAUUAUUUAUUUUUUGUCAUUAAUCUAUAGGCAUGAUAUCUAAGUGUUCAACAAGUGCUAGUGUGACAAAAUGUAGAUGUGAUUCGUGUGUGUAACCCUGUGUUGUCAAGUUGUUAAGAGAGAGUGUCAAAAGUGUGGUAAAUAUGUCAAGAAAUUGUGCUAACGAGUUAAGUGUUUAAACUAAUGAGAAUAUGGGAAAUUAAAAAAAAAAAAAAAACUGCAAUAAUAUGCUAAGGAACAUAAUGAUGCACUUAACCUAGUGUUUAACAUAUUGAGAAUGCUCAAAAACAUUCUUUUUAACAUGCUGACAAUUGUGUCAUUGGAAAAAUUUCAUACUGACAUGCUGAAGAAAUGUAAUAACAUGCUGAAAAUGCCUAAAAUUUGAUACUUUAAGAUGCUGAAAAUUAUGUUAAUAGUUAAGGAAAUUCAUAUUAAUAUAAUGAAGAAAUCUAAUAACACGCUGAAAAUGCCUAAAAUUUGAUAUUUUAACAUGCUGAAAAUUAUGUAAAUAGUGCAGGAAUUUCGUAUUAAUAUAAUGCAAUAACAUGCUGAAAAAUGCUUAAAAUUUGAUAUUUUAACACGCUGAAAAAUGCUUAAAAUUUGAUAUUUUAACAUGCUGAAAAAUUAUUAAAUGAAACAAAUUUAAUGGUUAACAUGCUCAUCAAAUUAUCAUGCUUAAAUAUUGUUAGCACGUUGAAAACCACACGAUGUCAUACUUAAUUCGAAUGUCUAACAUGCUAAAAUGUAUUAAUGUGCCUAAAUUAAUUGUCGGAUAGUGAUUUAAUGCUAGAUAUUGAAUGCAAAAAAUUCAGUUCAUGAGUUUAUUUGAACGUUGAAAAUUAAAAUAUAAUCAUCGAGAAUGUGAACAAAUGCCAAAAUACCAUUCGUAAUAUGUCAAAUUUUUGCUAAACAUGCAAAAGUAAAUGUGUUGCAAGCAUAUUCAAACUUGAUCUUGAUACUGCGAAAUUAGUUAAACUCCUAAAAUGAUGAUUUCUGAGUGAUAAGCAAUUUAAUUAAUGAAUCCUAGAUUGUGUUAUCUAGGUGAUUCAUGUAGCAUUUAAAGCAUAUAUACCUAAGUUGUGUUAGCCUAUGUGAUUCAUAUAAAUCCCCGCCCAGAAGCAGUCCCCAAAAUUUAUUAUUACAUUACUAUUGUUUGUACUAUAAUAUUAUAUGCUCAUGGCUAACAAAAGAUUAAUAAAAGAGAAUGGUAGACUAAUGAGAAAGAAACAACACCCAUCCAAAAACACUGACAAAUCUUCUGAUAUCGCUUAGUACCUGUCAAAUCCGACCAAAAGAGCAGGGUAAGCACAAAAAGGAACACUCGAACAUAUGAACAUGCUGUCUUAAACAGAAGCACAAAGGCAUCACAACCAAGCACAACAUCAUCAAUCUCAUUAGUUCCUAUAAACAUGCUUUCUAUGUUUUUCCAUAACAAAUACUAUGGAAUAAGAAUACAAUGCAUCGAUUAGUGACUUAUCGUUACCGGUUGACGAUAGCUAAUAAUAAUGAAAUGAAAACCAAGGAUGUACGCAAUUCGAGAAUGAAUUUCCACCGAAAGGUCAAGAUUAAUUCUCCAAAGAUAAGUACAGAAAUAAUAAAUUAAAAUUAUUUAUUUGUUUAAAGCUUUCGUGUGAGAGAGUGUGAGUUGUAAAACUUGUCUUUCCUUGGGAAUGAGGAUGAAGGGUGGUUUAUAUAGAAAAAGGGUUCAUAGGAUAAAAGGAAGAAAUAUUUUAAAAUCAAUCAGAAUCAAUCAUGGAGAAGGAGAAUAUUUUAACAAUCAGUCAGAAUAUUUUCUUUAAUUAGAAAAAGAUUGAAUCAAUUUUAGGAUAUAAAAAGAACUAAUUUACCAUAAACACUUGUAUCAAACAACAAUGACAGAUUAGGCAAAGUUCAGUCAAGGCAAUAAAAGGAAAACAAAUAUUCAAUGCAAUUAGUCAAGGAUAUUUUCUAUAAACAUAAAAUCAAUUUACUAAUAAUAUUCAAUCAAAGAAAAAUCAAUCCCUCCAAUUUCAUUUUUCAACUAACACAAUUAAGAGUAUGAAAUCCUGUAAAAGUUCAGCCAAAGAAAUAAGAGAAUAUUUGAUAAGUCAAUCAGGCUAUUAAUUUACUUAAACAAAAUGCUAUAAUCAAUUAUGUCAAAAUUUAUCCCCAAGAAAAUAAAAGGAAAAGCCAAUAUUUAGAAAAUCAAUUAAUCACCAACAUGUAUAACUAAACAUAAUCUGUCAAGGUAACAUUCAUCAUAAUCAAAGUUAGAUGAGUCAAGUUUACCAAAUGGAGGCGAAUAAGUGAAGGAAUAAUGAAAUCAAGGAGUUCACUCAAAGACAUACUAACCUCACGAUUUUGAAACUAAGUCAUAUAACAUACUGUUUCUAGCAAUUCCGAAAUAACUAAUUAACCAAAAUAUGUUAAACUGAAAGAGAGACAUGCUAAAAGUCAGUGAGCAAGUAGUAACAUGAUACUAAAAAAAUGACAACUUCAACCAAGAAUCUCGAAAAGUAGCACUUAGACAUGGAAUUUAGGGCUUUUUACAUAUAAUAGUCAUAUCACAUAAGCAAACUCAAAUAGCAGAGAAUCAGACAAAGAGAUCAAUCACACUUCAUUAAUUCCUAAUCCAAAAUCUGUGAAAGAAAAGGGAAGAAGAAGCAGUAUAAAAAUAAACACAGAUAUCUAAUUAUUUGGUUAAACCUGUGGAUGGGUUUAUUAGACACAUCAUUUUAAGAAACAGGCAGUGCCGGCGACUGGCGGCGACUGGCGGCGUUGGUGGCGGAGCAGAUCUGGGUUACGGGGAGAAAAGAUCAGAGGAGAUGGAGGCGGAGGACUGAGCCGCAGGGCGACGACAUCAUCAUUGUGGCUGGUGGCUGGACCGAUCUUGCCGGAUGCAUGGCAUUUUGCACAGCGACAACCGGCAGCGCUGAAGGGGAGAGAACGACGGCCAUGGUUGUUUUCUGGAAGGGUUCGACGGCUGGGGAAGGCUGGUCAUCGUUGUUUUAGCCAUUGAUGGCGCCGGUGGUCUGGCGGAUCUGGCUGGUCGGCCGCAUGGCGGUGGUAGAUAUGGGUUCGACUGAGGGAGGCGGUGACAUGGAUGGAGUUCUUCGGUUUGGGGUGGCCGGAGAUGGUGGCGGCUGCCAUGGUUAUUGAGGGAGAGAGAUAGAGAUAGAGAGAAGAUAGAGAAAGCGUAAGUGGGUGUUUGGCAUUGCUUAUGAGUUGGUUUAUAAGCAUCUUUUGGCUUAAAAAGUGUUU